UGGGGAAUAUUGGGCAAUGGGCGAAAGCCUGACCCAGCAACGCCGCGUGAGGAAAGAAGGCCUUCGGGUUGUAAACCUCUGUCCUUGGUGACGAAAAAAAUGACGGUAGCCAAGGAGGAAGCCCCGGCUAACUACGUGCCAGCAGCCGCGGUAAUACGUAGGGGGCGAGCGUUGUCCGGAAUUACUGGGCGUAAAGGGUGCGUAGGUGGCCUUUUAAGUUGGAUGUGAAAUCCCCGGGCUUAACUUGGGUGGUGCAUCUAAUACUGGAGGGCUAGAGUGCAGGAGAGGGAAGCGGAAUUCCUAGUGUAGCGGUGAAAUGCGUAGAUAUUAGGAGGAACACCAGUGGCGAAGGCGGCUUUCUGGACUGUAACUGACACUGAGGCACGAAAGCGUGGGGAGCAACCAG
This 406-nucleotide ribosomal RNA is filed under the name uncultured bacterium. RNAcentral describes it as "bacterial SSU rRNA". It matches the Rfam family "Bacterial small subunit ribosomal RNA", at positions 355 to 775 of the family's 1533-position model. The record is from RNAcentral.